AAUCAAAAGGUAGCCAGGUGCAUCGGGGAAAGCACUGACAUUGGAGUCAGACAGACUGAAGUUCAUAUCUGAUUCUGCUAUAUGACAACGUGUGGGCUAUGUGGCUAACUUCUCAGAGCUUCAGUUUUCUCAAGGGCAAAAUGAAAAUAAUAGAAAUAAUAGAAUCCACCUCACAGGGCUGUGGUGAGAAUUGGAGAUGAAGCACAUACAGCAUAUUACAUCAACUAAACACAUGCUAAAAAUUAAAGGGGAUGAAAGAUACAUUGGUCCCUGCAGUGGGAAGUUUCCUUGACAAUGCAAUUAUUGAUUCCAGUGAAGGAGCAGCUUUGGCUUACUAUUCAAGCUCGAGGUCAGGGCUUGAAAACUUGAAAAAUGGAAAAAGGAUUAAGAGAACCUUAUAUUCCUGAAUAGCAAAGGAAGAAGCAACAAUUCUUCUGAAAUCUCAUAGUCGAAAGCUAAAGACAGGGGCCUAGGUCAAGCUCAAAGUCACUUACAGGACGUGAAAAUCACCUCGGAUUUAAUCUAGGCUUAGCAGCUACAGGAAAAGAACUGAAGAAAGGCCUUGUUUUAUGUUUUCUGACAGUAAAAUGAAAUAAAACGUGGAAUAUUAUAGAAAGGAUUUUGUAAGUGAAAGGGAGUGGUUGAGAAGAGGCAAAGUGAGUGUUGGAAAGGAUAUUGAAACUUGAAGAAGGCUGGAAGAAGAGGUCAAGGGAAUCCUAUGACUGAAAGCAGCAUCAGAGACACAAACAUACUGAUCUUGGAGCCCUGCAAAUACAUCUCUUUAUAUUGAACAUUUUGAGUCUUUUUCUAUUCCUAGGUGUGUUUACUAAAUUAUACAAGUCUGCUAAUACCAAUUAUCCUAUAAAUGCCCUUCUUAAUUCUUAAAAU
This is a long non-coding RNA of Homo sapiens (human), 888 nucleotides long. Ensembl annotates it as ZRANB2 divergent transcript. Its record names the gene ZRANB2-DT. The record is from Ensembl. Lineage: Eukaryota; Metazoa; Chordata; Mammalia; Primates; Hominidae.